CUUACAUUCAUUUUAUUUGAGUUCCUUCUUCAGGAAAGAACCCCCAGACCUCUCAAAAAGUAUCAAAGAACUGAAACUCACCAGGUAACCACCUCCAGACAAUGAGACCAGACCCCUUAUUCAUUCUGAUUGCUUCUUUCCCUUUCUGAGUUCCUGUUGUCCUAUACACGGUUACGUUUCUUCCUUGCUAGAUAAACCCCUAGUUUUAGUCAGUCAGGGAGAUGGAUUUGAGACAGAGCUCCCCUCUCCUCGGCUGCAACACCCAGUUACAGCUUUCUUCCUCAGCAAUACUUGUCAUCUCAGUGAUUGGCUUUCUGUGCAGAGAGCCGCAGGAUCUAGAUGUUUCCGUAACAGAUAUAUGGGGCACGGAGGAUUCUUAGGGCAGUGUUUCCGUAACAGAUAUAUGGGGCACGGAGGAUUCUUAGGGCAGUGAAACAAUUCUGUAUGAUGCAAAAACGGUGGGGACAAGUCAUUAUACAUUUGUCCAAACCCACAGAAUGUACGACACCAGGAGUGAAUUCCAUUCAAUUCCACUUAAUUUUUCUGGAAACCCAAAACUGCUUUUUUUUUUUUUUUUUUUUUUUUUUUUUUUGGAGACAGAGUCUCACUCUGUCACCCAGGCUGGAGUACAGUGGCACGAUCUUGGCUCACUGCUGCAACCUCUGACUUCCAGGUUCAGGUGAUUCUCCUGCUUCCACCACCAGAGUCCUGCCUCCACCACCAGAGUAGCUGGGAUUACAGGUAUGCGUCUCCACGCCCGGCUAAUUUUUCUGUUUUAGUAGAGAUGAGAUUUCACCAUGUUGGCCAGGCUGGUCUCGAACUCCUGGCCUCAAGUAUUUUGCCCGUCUCAGCCUUCCAAAGUGCUGGGAUUACAGGCAUGAGCCACCACGCCCCGCCAUCAAAAUUGCUUUUUAAAAGUGUGUUAAAUUCAAAAAAAGAAGCUAGAGGAAAGAGGGCAGAGGGUGGCAUUCAGGCAGCAGAAGGGCUGUCCUCAUGGUCCUUGUGGUGAGGGGAUGACCUCCUGCUGAAGGCCAGUCCACUGAGCUGGCACCCACAGAGGGGGACCUGGACUGUUUGCAGCUGAACAGCCUGUAGCCAGGGCUAUCAGAAGGCAGGGAGACCUGGAGUGCAUUGACAGUCACCACACAGGUUUCCAGGAACCUUCCCUCCCUUCCCUGAGUCAGCAUUCAUGCAUACAUUCCUUCCCUUAUUCAUUCAAAAUGUUUCUGGCCAGCCUACCAGGCACCCAGCACAUCAGACCUCUGAUCAUUUGCUCAUAGACUCAUUCAUUCAUUCACUUAAUCACUGUCUCUGUCUAGGCAGAAAGCAAACAUCUAGUCCUGCCAGCCCUAGACAGAAUGAUUUCAAACCCUAAUUAGUACUGUGGGGCUUAAUGAGGUUUCCUGGGAUUCUCAUUAUCAGGGAAAUCAUUUCACAAAAGCUGUCCAUGAUACAGUGGGCAGGGGCACCUCAUGCCAGUAAGGAGCCUCUUCCUGAGAUGAGCAACCGAGGAAACACCAAUUAAGCAAGGAAGCUGUGGAAGGGGAUGCCCCGGGCUUCCCAGAGUGCAGAGCAUGGAUGCUUAGCUGAGGGGUGGGGCUGGAACCUGGCUGCCAAAGCAGUUCUGCCAGCAGGAGCAGGGAUGGCCAGGCAGCAGCACAGGUCACUGCCCCGCAUGGUCAACAUGCAUUGCGGAUUUUAGCUUGCGUUUACGGAUGGCUUCUAGCUACAAAAGACACAGUGGCGCUCAGUUGCUCACCUGUGUAUUUUAAGUAACUAAUUCCUAUUCACACACUCAUUCAUUUAGCCAUUCAUGCAGGUUUCAGAUGUUUAAUGAGCAUCUACUAUGUGCCAAGCAGCUUCAUAAUAAACACACACUUAUUCAUAAAUCCAUGCAUCUGUAGACUUCAGAUGUUCAAAUGUUCAUAGAUGGCUUGGGGCUUGCAGGGACAGAUCUUCCAGUGUCACCAGGAGCCUCUGGGAUAGGCGGGAAACGCUUCCUACAGGGGGUGGGGCGGGGGGCGCAUUUGAGCUCCAUGUGGGGAAGGCCCAGGGCAACUCUAAGCUGAGUGCAGAGUCCCAGGUCCCGAAAAUAGUGAGGCUUCCAGGUCACGAGGUUACACCAGCAUCCAUGACGUCAGCAGGCCAGCGGCGGGCCCUUAGCCAUGGAGGUUCAGAUCGUGUGGGUUGUGGGUCCCACGGUCCCAGAGUCAGCCGGGCGCCCAUUGGCUUGGCCUCAGGAUGCCCAGGGACAUGCCUGGUGCAGCUGGGGCAGCAGGAGCUCACUCUACCAUGAAAUAUUCAUGGCUGCUGGCAAAGCCCGGCCCUAAAAUAUAGUUUGCAGAAGAAAAAGAGCCAUCAGGCAUUUAAUCAUUGUGUUAAUGAGGCUCUAUUUGGAAGCAAACUCCAUCUGACUGCGUCCUAGACAGCAAGAGUCAGGGCCCGGCCAACCUGUGUUGCCGGCCGCAGGGGCAGCCUCAUCCCUGAGACACCAGUGGGAGACACGCCCGGGCAAGGCACAGGCUUGGCUCGAGGCCAUGGCCAGCGGCCCUCCACUUCAGGGGAGCCCAUGAGAUUAUAACGGCAUCCUGAGGUUUGCCAAAAAGCAUCCUUUUAAGCAGAAAGCAAGCAACGGCCCUGCAUGGAGGCGCCACAGAUCCAGUCUGGCUGAGCAGGGGCUAGACCAACUCGUUUUCCCUAAGCAGCUUCCUCGGGGGAACCACUACCCCUCCUGCCUCCAGCUCCCCCUGCUGCCCAGGCCGCCGCCACAGACACUGCAAAUUACCAUCCAGACAAGAUUGCCGGGCCCUUUACAAAGCCUGAAGCAGCUCCUGCAGCCGCCGUCAGCGUCAGCAGCCGCCCUUCUUCGCCAGGUGUGCUGAUUGCAAGUCUCUCUGUGCGGCAGGAGGGGACGUCUCCAAAGGGCAGGCGUCCAGUGGCAGCACCGCAGGCCUGUGGGUGUUCCACCUGCAGAGGCCCCAGAGCAGCCCACGGAGGGCCACGGUGGUAUUAUUCCCAUUUCACAGGGAAGAAGCAAGGUCAGAGCUCUUCCCAGAUGGCUCACUCCCCCUCCCCCGAGUCUUUCCCAGGGCCAAGGCCAUCCCUGGUCACGGAGCCCGCACCGCCUCCUCCCUGCAGCGCCAGGCCCAUGCUGCCCGCCCUUACCCGCUCCUCCCGUCCGGCGCUUGAGAGACGUGGUGUCUGGAAAGUCUGUCCCAUCCCAGCUUCCACAACACCCACUGAGACCCACGCCAACGCGCCCCGCCCACGAGAACCCAGGUCACUCCCGCUUGGUGACUGCGGAAGAACUUUCCGGGUGUCACGUUGGUCCAGUCCCAGGCUGUCCUUCUCUCAACUAAGUUUCCAUCUGGAUUCCAGCCCACCCCCAUGCACGGGACGCAGGAGCUCUGGGUGCCCACCACUCCAUGAAGGGUGAUUGUGGUGAUGUAUUUGACCUUCUGGCAGCAAUUUAAUCAAAUCUGGAAAUCUGGGCCGGCACCUGGUUCGGGACUCAUCCCCUGUUGCUAGGAAACCCAACUCCUGCGGAUCCCACCCUGCUCCAUCCGGAGACAGUGGGAGAGACCCUCCUGCAGCUGAGGCCAGGGCUGGGGAAUGGCUGGAGAUGGAUGGGGACAGCAGUGGCCUUUGCACUGGCUGACUUCACAGCAGAACUCCCACGAGUGCCGAGAAACAGCGUGUAGGGGCGCUGCUCUCCCUACAAGCCCUUCCAGGCGCUGCAGGUCACUUAGAAGCUUGUGGCGCAUCCCUCGGUACCUCUCUCUGCCUGCGCACCAUAAACACCCAGACUACAGGGCCAUACCUGUCUCUUCUUGGUCUCCCCAGCAUCCUGCAGAUUAGUGGCCCUUCAGACACUUUGCACCCCAGUAGGGGGUGGGGAGGCUGGUGGAAAGUGAGCCCUGUGGCUCCUGGAGAAGCGGCGAGCAGCAGGCAGUGUUACACAAGGGUCCUCCCAACCCAGCUGACCUCACCAGGUCAUUCAUGCAAGAAUGCGGGGCCAAUGGGUUUCUGCCAGGCGUGCCAGGGCUGAGGGCACCCCUGGGUCCUCACAGCCCCCACUGUCCAGGGACAGCAGAGUCCUCCUUCCCUUUGCCAUUUCCAUGUUUCUCAUUUCAAUAAUUCUUGCAGCCCAUGUUGUGUAAAUAAAAUUAUUCUUCCCAAAAAAAUCGUUAGCAGAGCCCGACAUUAAUUCCCCUGCAAUCUGUGUAAUUAACUGCAUGUAAUAUAGGGCAUUAAAGGACCGGUUUGCUAAUCACCACUCCUCCGCUCCACGCACCUAAUUAAAUCUCCUUCCUGUUUAUCCACUUACAGGAUCCUCUGCAAAGAUACCAGGCACCAGGAACACUGUUGUAAUAAAUCUUUGCGUAAUUUUAGAGGGUGCAGUCCCACUCUGUUUCAUUCCCACUGCUGAGCCCCUCCUCCCUGCAGCCACGUCUCCCCAUGACUCGGC
RNAcentral lists this long non-coding RNA (4468 nucleotides) under Homo sapiens (human). RNAcentral describes it as "HSALNT0156654". The record is from RNAcentral. Lineage: Eukaryota; Metazoa; Chordata; Mammalia; Primates; Hominidae.